GCUUCAGUUUGAAUCGAACCGUACCGCAAACCGACACAGGUGGGCAGGAUGAGAAUUCUAAGGCGCUUGAGAGAACUCGGGAGAAGGAACUCGGCAAAUUGAUACCGUAACUUCGGGAGAAGGUAUGCCCUCUAAGGUUAAGGACCUGCUCCGUAAGCCCUGGAGGGUCGCAGAGAAUAGGUGGCUGCGACUGUUUAUUAAAAACACAGCACUCUGCUAACACGAAAGUGGACGUAUAGGGUGUGACGCCUGCCCGGUGCUGGAAGGUUAAUUGAAGAUGUGCAAGCAUCGGAUCGAAGCCCCAGUAAACGGCGGCCGUAACUAUAACGGUCCUAAGGNNNNNNNNNNGUAGCGAAAUUCCUUGUCGGGUAAGUUCCGACCCGCACGAAUGGCGUAACGAUGGCCACACUGUCUCCUCCCGAGACUCAGCGAAGUUGAAGUGGUUGUGAAGAUGCAAUCUACCCGCUGCUAGACGGAAAGACCCCGUGAACCUUUACUGUAGCUUUGCAUUGGACUUUGAAGUCACUUGUGUAGGAUAGGUGGGAGGCUUAGAAGCAGAGACGCCAGUCUCUGUGGAGCCGUCCUUGAAAUACCACCCUGGUGUCUUUGAGGUUCUAACCCAGACCCGUAAUCCGGGUCGGGGACCGUGCAUGGUAGGCAGUUUGACUG
RNAcentral lists this ribosomal RNA (669 nucleotides) under Rothia sp. (in: high G+C Gram-positive bacteria). RNAcentral describes it as "Rothia sp. (human oral metagenome) partial 23S ribosomal RNA". It matches the Rfam family "Bacterial large subunit ribosomal RNA", at positions 1624 to 2276 of the family's 2925-position model. Lineage: Bacteria; Bacillati; Actinomycetota; Actinomycetes; Micrococcales; Micrococcaceae. The record is from RNAcentral.